Molecule: ribosomal RNA, 1434 nt
Filed under: Halomonas sp. X27
Lineage: Bacteria; Pseudomonadati; Pseudomonadota; Gammaproteobacteria; Oceanospirillales; Halomonadaceae
Description: bacterial SSU rRNA
Rfam family: Bacterial small subunit ribosomal RNA
Source: RNAcentral
GCAUGGCGGAGCUACCAUGCAGUCGAGCGGAACGAUGGAAGCUUGCUUCCAGGCGUCGAGCGGCGGACGGGUGAGUAAUGCAUAGGAAUCUGCCCGAUAGUGGGGGAUAACCUGGGGAAACCCAGGCUAAUACCGCAUACGUCCUACGGGAGAAAGCAGGGGAUCUUCGGACCUUGCGCUAUCGGAUGAGCCUAUGUCGGAUUAGCUAGUUGGUGAGGUAACGGCUCACCAAGGCCGCGAUCCGUAGCUGGUCUGAGAGGAUGAUCAGCCACAUCGGGACUGAGACACGGCCCGAACUCCUACGGGAGGCAGCAGUGGGGAAUAUUGGACAAUGGGCGAAAGCCUGAUCCAGCCAUGCCGCGUGUGUGAAGAAGGCUUUCGGGUUGUAAAGCACUUUCAGUGGGGAAGAAAUCCUCGGGGCCAAUACCCUCGAGGGAGGACAUCACCCACAGAAGAAGCACCGGCUAACUCCGUGCCAGCAGCCGCGGUAAUACGGAGGGUGCGAGCGUUAAUCGGAAUUACUGGGCGUAAAGCGCGCGUAGGCGGCGUGAUAAGCCGGUUGUGAAAGCCCCGGGCUCAACCUGGGAACGGCAUCCGGAACUGUCAGGCUAGAGUGCAGGAGAGGAAGGUAGAAUUCCCGGUGUAGCGGUGAAAUGCGUAGAGAUCGGGAGGAAUACCAGUGGCGAAGGCGGCCUUCUGGACUGACACUGACGCUGAGGUGCGAAAGCGUGGGUAGCAAACAGGAUUAGAUACCCUGGUAGUCCACGCCGUAAACGAUGUCGACUAGCCGUUGGGGUCCUUGUGACCUUUGUGGCGCAGUUAACGCGAUAAGUCGACCGCCUGGGGAGUACGGCCGCAAGGUUAAAACUCAAAUGAAUUGACGGGGGCCCGCACAAGCGGUGGAGCAUGUGGUUUAAUUCGAUGCAACGCGAAGAACCUUACCUACUCUUGACAUCGUGCGAACUUUCCAGAGAUGGAUUGGUGCCUUCGGGAACGCACAGACAGGUGCUGCAUGGCCGUCGUCAGCUCGUGUUGUGAAAUGUUGGGUUAAGUCCCGUAACGAGCGCAACCCUUGUCCCUAUUUGCCAGCGAUUCGGUCGGGAACUCUAGGGAGACUGCCGGUGACAAACCGGAGGAAGGUGGGGACGACGUCAGGUCAUCAUGGCCCUUACGAGUAGGGCUACACACGUGCUACAAUGGCCGGUACAAAGGGUUGCGAAGCCGCGAGGUGGAGCUAAUCCCGAAAAGCCGGUCUCAGUCCGGAUCGGAGUCUGCAACUCGACUCCGUGAAGUCGGAAUCGCUAGUAAUCGUGAAUCAGAAUGUCACGGUGAAUACGUUCCCGGGCCUUGUACACACCGCCCGUCACACCAUGGGAGUGGACUGCACCAGAAGUGGUUAGCCUAACUUCGGAGGGCGAUCACCACGGUGUACGC